Molecule: ribosomal RNA, 207 nt
Filed under: uncultured bacterium
Lineage: Bacteria
Description: partial 16S ribosomal RNA
Rfam family: Bacterial small subunit ribosomal RNA
Source: RNAcentral
CGCGUAGGCGGUUAAAUAAGUCGGAUGUGAAAGCCCCGGGCUCAACCUGGGAACUGCAUUUGAAACUGUUUAGCUAGAGUGUGGUAGAGGAGAGUGGAAUUUCAGGUGUAGCGGUGAAAUGCGUAGAUAUCUGAAGGAACAUCAGUGGCGAAGGCGGCUCUCUGGACCAACACUGACGCUGAGGUGCGAAAGCGUGGGUAGCAAACG